Molecule: ribosomal RNA, 771 nt
Filed under: Triticum aestivum (bread wheat)
Lineage: Eukaryota; Viridiplantae; Streptophyta; Magnoliopsida; Poales; Poaceae
Description: partial small subunit ribosomal RNA
Source: RNAcentral
AUGAUAAUUGGGGACUUUAACGAAAUCUUAUACUCGUCAGAGAAGGAAGGGGGCACUCCCCGCCAACAGUCUCGUUUACAGGCGUUUCAAGAUGCUCUGUCUGACUGCAUGUUAGAGGAUGUUGGCUUCGUAGGGGACAAAUUCACUUGGUUCAGGGGUGGGCUGCGAGAGAGGCUAGAUCGAGCGGUCUCCAAUGCAGCUUGGCUGCUAUUGCACCCAUCUGCAGGGCUCAGCAACUUGGAGCUAGGCAAAUCAGAUCACCGUCCGUUGCUGAUGGAUACUGAGUAUCUGUCUGGGGUUGCGGAUAAUAACCCGAAGAAAGAACACAAGUUUGAAAUGAGGUGGCUGGAGGAAGAAACAGUCAAUGAGAUUGUGAACACUGCAUGGCAGAAGGCCAUUCACCAAGGUUUAUGCCCUGCAAUUUCUGACAAGCUUAGGGCUGUACACCAGGAUUUACAUGAGUGGGACCGUAAGAUAUUACGGAAGCCACAGGAUAGACUCAAAGCUGCACGCAAAGAACUUGAGAAGGUGAUGAGGGGGCCGUACUCGAAUGAAGCAAAGAUGAGGCAUAAAGAACUGUCGGUGCUGAUAGAAAAUCUGCUUGAACAAGAUGAAAUCUACUGGGCUCAAAGGGGGCGUGUUAAAUGGCUGAAGAAAGGAGACCUGAACUCCUCUUACUUCCAGCAUUGCGUCUCGGCUAGAAGGAGGAACUUGAUAAAGAAACUUAAGAAUGAGAGCCAGAAUUGGGUAGAGGGUAAUGACAAUCUGUGA